GGGGGAAUAUUGCACAAUGGGCGCAAGCCUGAUGCAGCCAUGCAGCGUGUAUGAAGAAGGCCUUCGGGUUGGAAAGUACUUUCAGUCGGGAGGAAGGUGGUAAGGUUAAUAACCUUAUCAAUUGACGUUACCGACAGAAGAAGCACCGGCUAACUCCGUGCCAGCAGCCGCGGUAAUACGGAGGGUGCAAGCGUUAAUCGGAAUUACUGGGCGUAAAGCGCACGCAGGCGGUUGAUUGAGUCAGAUGUGAAAUCCCCGGGCUUAACCCGGGAAUUGCAUCUGCUACUGGUCAGCUAGAGUCUUGUAGAGGGGGGUAGAAUUCCAUGUGUAGCGGUGAAAUGCGUAGAGAUGUGGAGGAAUACCGGUGGCGGAGGCGGCCCCCUAGACAAAGACUGACGCUCAGGUGCGAAAGCGUGGAGAGCAAACAGG
Molecule: ribosomal RNA, 429 nt
Filed under: Chloroflexota bacterium
Lineage: Bacteria; Bacillati; Chloroflexota
Description: Chloroflexi bacterium partial 16S ribosomal RNA
Rfam family: Bacterial small subunit ribosomal RNA
Source: RNAcentral